CCUACGGGAGGCAGCAGUGGGGAAUAUUGGGCAAUGGACGCAAGUCUGACCCAGCAACGCCGCGUGAAGGAAGAAGGCUUUCGGGUUGUAAACUUCUUUUAAGGGGGAAGAGCAGAAGACGGUACCCCUUGAAUAAGCCACGGCUAACUACGUGCCAGCAGCCGCGGUAAUACGUAGGUGGCAAGCGUUGUCCGGAUUUACUGGGUGUAAAGGGCGUGCAGCCGGAGAGGCAAGUCAGAUGUGAAAUACGCGGGCUCAACUCGCGAACUGCAUUUGAAACUGCUUCCCUUGAGUAUCGGAGAGGUAAUCGGAAUUCCUAGUGUAGCGGUGAAAUGCGUAGAUAUUAGGCAGAACACCAGUGGCGAAGGCGGAUUACUGGACGACAACUGACGGUGAGGCGCGAAAGCGUGGGGAGCAAACAGGAUUAGAUACCCCAGUAGUC
Molecule: ribosomal RNA, 442 nt
Filed under: uncultured bacterium
Lineage: Bacteria
Description: partial 16S ribosomal RNA
Rfam family: Bacterial small subunit ribosomal RNA
Source: RNAcentral